RNAcentral lists this ribosomal RNA (440 nucleotides) under uncultured bacterium. Its description in RNAcentral is "partial 16S ribosomal RNA". It matches the Rfam family "Bacterial small subunit ribosomal RNA", at positions 338 to 795 of the family's 1533-position model. The record is from RNAcentral.
CCUACGGGAGGCAGCAGUGGGGGAUAUUGCACAAUGGGGGAAACCCUGAUGCAGCGACGCCGCGUGUGGGCAGACGGUCCUCUGGAUUGUAAACCACUUUCCCCAGGGACUAAGAUGACGGUACCUGGGGAGGAAGCUCCGGCAAACUACGUGCCAGCAGCAGCGGUAAUACGUAGGGAGCGAGCGUUGUCCGGAAUUACUGGGGGUAAAGGGAUCGUAGGCGGGACUGCAAGUUGGGUGUAAAAUCUCCGGGCUCAACCGGUAGCCGCACUCAAAACUGCAGUUCUUGAGUGAAGUAGAGGUGUGCGGAAUUCCUAGUGUAGCGGUGAAAUGCGUAGAUAUUAGGAGGAACACCAGUGGCGAAGGCGGCCUACUGGGCUUUUACUGACGCUGAGGCUCGAAAGUGUGGGUAGCAAACAGGAUUAGAUACCCUAGUAGUC